RNAcentral lists this long non-coding RNA (302 nucleotides) under Solanum tuberosum (potato). Its description in RNAcentral is "long non-coding RNA (STUB_LNC001826)". The record is from RNAcentral. Lineage: Eukaryota; Viridiplantae; Streptophyta; Magnoliopsida; Solanales; Solanaceae.
AUCAUUUCACCCCUCUAAUUAUCGAAACUGAUUCACAGGUACUGCUUGAUUUAUUACGCUCGAAUAACCCAAAGUAUCUCACUAUUUUAUCUACCUGCAGAGACCUGUUGGCUGAGUUGUCGGGCACUGAACUUCGCCACAUCUAUAGGACUACAAAUACUAUGGCAGAUGCACUGGCGAAGCAUGGCAAGUCCUUAACUUACUCUUCAGUUUAUGACCUUACCACCUAUGUAUCCCCCCCCCCUCUUUUUAUUCCCUAUGUCCCUAGUACUUAAAUAAACAUGGUGCAUGUACCCUGCUGC